CGACUCGAGCGUCAGCGAGAGAGCGUUGCCGCAGGCAACGACCCGUAGGGCGAAGCGCGCAGCGCUGAGUAAUCCUUCCCCCACCACCA
Molecule: small RNA, 89 nt
Filed under: Escherichia coli
Lineage: Bacteria; Pseudomonadati; Pseudomonadota; Gammaproteobacteria; Enterobacterales; Enterobacteriaceae
Description: partial RtT sRNA
Rfam family: RtT RNA
About the family: This family represents a bacterial cis-regulatory element known as RtT RNA. The exact function of RtT is unknown although it is thought that it may be involved in changing the cellular response in relation to amino acid starvation.
Source: RNAcentral